AUGGCGUACUUCUCCUGUUUGAACCGGGGGGGGACCAUCAUGGCGCCUCUCCUCUCGAGAAUUCAUACAUCCUUAUCAGUAUAUGGACAGCUAUCUCUCGAGCACAGGUUGAGGUUUGGCCUCAAUGGAAAAAGAAAAACGGAGCACCUAACAACGUAUCUUCACAGACCAAGAACUACGAGAUCAUCCCUUUUAUUCUGGGGUGACGGCGGGAUCGUACCAUUCUCUUGA
Non-coding RNA from Vicia faba (fava bean), 231 nucleotides. Lineage: Eukaryota; Viridiplantae; Streptophyta; Magnoliopsida; Fabales; Fabaceae. The record is from the annotation of a GenBank genome assembly.